AUGGCAUCGCAUUUAUCCUUUUUUUCUAAAUCUUUUUUUAGAACCCAUAGGUUCUCAAUAGUGAAAGCCUUAUUUUGGCUUUGUAGAAUUGUGUCAACUAAGUAGUGGACACAGGCCUCUUCACCUUCUUUCGUAAUGAGGUUAGUUGUUUGUUCUAAAAGUGGCAUUUGAACGCCAAACUUCUUAUUGCAAAAAAACCACAAGUGUUCUUUAAAGAUUUUUAUCUCUGUGUUUAAUUUUUCCGGAGUCAAUUUUUUCAUAGUCGAAAGAUAAUCUUGUAGGUCGAUUGCUUCUUUUGCUUC
Molecule: long non-coding RNA, 302 nt
Filed under: Panicum hallii
Lineage: Eukaryota; Viridiplantae; Streptophyta; Magnoliopsida; Poales; Poaceae
Description: long non-coding RNA (PHAL_LNC000341)
Source: RNAcentral